GACGAACGCUGGCGGCGUGCUUAACACAUGCAAGUCGAACGGAAAGGCCCUGCUUUUGUGGGGUGCUCGAGUGGCGAACGGGUGAGUAACACGUGAGUAACCUGCCCUUGACUUUGGGAUAACUUCAGGAAACUGGGGCUAAUACCGGAUAGGAGCUCCUGCUGCAUGGUGGGGGUUGGAAAGUUUCGGCGGUUGGGGAUGGACUCGCGGCUUAUCAGCUUGUUGGUGGGGUAGUGGCUUACCAAGGCUUUGACGGGUAGCCGGCCUGAGAGGGUGACCGGCCGCAGGGGGAGGGAGAGAGGGGCGAGACGGCGAGGGGAGGCAGCAGUGGGGAGGAGGGCAGAAGGGGCGGAAGCCUGAUGCAGCAACGCCGCGUGCGGGAUGACGGCCUUCGGGUUGUAAACCGCUUUCGCCUGUGACGAAGCGUGAGUGACGGUAAUGGGUAAAGAAGCACCGGCUAACUACGUG
RNAcentral lists this ribosomal RNA (468 nucleotides) under uncultured bacterium. Its description in RNAcentral is "partial 16S ribosomal RNA". It matches the Rfam family "Bacterial small subunit ribosomal RNA", at positions 28 to 507 of the family's 1533-position model. The record is from RNAcentral.